This 273-nucleotide ribosomal RNA is filed under the name uncultured bacterium. RNAcentral's name for it is "partial 16S ribosomal RNA". It matches the Rfam family "Bacterial small subunit ribosomal RNA", at positions 524 to 796 of the family's 1533-position model. The record is from RNAcentral.
UACGAAGGAUCCAAGCGUUAUCCGGAUUCAUUGGGUUUAAAGGGUGCGUAGGCGGUUUUGUAAGUCAGUGGUGAAAUCUCUCAGCUUAACUGAGAAACUGCCAUUGAUACUGCAGAACUAGAGUACAGAUGACGUUGGCGGAAUGUGUCAUGUAGCGGUGAAAUGCAUAGAUAUGACACAGAACACCGAUUGCGAAGGCAGCUGACGAAACUGCAACUGACGCUGAUGCACGAAAGUGCGGGGAUCAAACAGGAUUAGAAACCCCUGUAGUCC